This 510-nucleotide ribosomal RNA is filed under the name uncultured bacterium. RNAcentral describes it as "partial 16S ribosomal RNA". It matches the Rfam family "Bacterial small subunit ribosomal RNA", at positions 28 to 507 of the family's 1533-position model. The record is from RNAcentral.
GACGAACGCUGGCGGCGUGCUUAACACAUGCAAGUCGAACGAAGAGCGAUGGAAGCUUGCUUCUAUCAAUCUUAGUGGCGAACGGGUGAGUAACGCGUAAUCAACCUGCCCUUCAGAGGGGGACAACAGUUGGAAACGACUGCUAAUACCGCAUACGAUCUAAUCUCGGCAUCGAGGAUGGAUGAAAGGUGUCCUCGACAUGUAAGCUAUCACUGAAGGUGGGGAUUGCGUCUGAUUAGCUAGCUGGAGGGGUAACGGCCCAACCAGGGGAAGAACAGUAGCCGGUCCGGAGGGAUGAAUCGCCAAAUUGGGAAUGAGAAAAGGCCCAGGAUCCUGAGGGGAGGAGCAGGGGGGAAACUUUCGAAAUGGAGGGAAGGCUGAAGGAGGAAAGCCGCGGGAGUGGUGAAGGCCUUCGGGUUGGAAAGCUCUGUUAAUCGGGAAGAAAGGCCUUCUUGCGAAUAGUGAGAAGGAUUGACGGUACCGAAAUAGAAAGCCACGGCUAACUACGUG